GACGAACGCUGGCGGCGUGCUUAACACAUGCAAGUCGAACGGAAAGGCCCUGCUUUUGUGUGGUUCUCGCGUGGCGAACGGGUGAGUAACACGUGAGUAACCUGCCCUGUACUUUGUGAUAACUUCAGGAAACUGGUGCUAAUACCUGCUAGGAGCUCCUGCUGCAUGGUGGGGGUUGGAAAGUUUCGGCGGGUGUGGAUGUACGCGCGGCUAAUGAGCUUGUUGGUGGGGUAGUUGCUUACCAAGGCUUUGGCGGGUAGCCGGCCUGAGAGGGUGAACGGCGACAUUGGGACUGAGAUACGGACCAGACUCCUACGGGAGGCAGCAGGCGGGAAUCUUGCACAAUGAGCCGAAGUCUGAUGAAGCAACGCCGCGUGCGGGAUGAAGGCCUUCGGGUGGUAAACCGCAUUAGCCUGUGACCAAGCGUGAGUGACGGUAAUGAGUAAAGAAGCACCGGCUAACUACGUG
RNAcentral lists this ribosomal RNA (468 nucleotides) under uncultured bacterium. RNAcentral describes it as "partial 16S ribosomal RNA". It matches the Rfam family "Bacterial small subunit ribosomal RNA", at positions 28 to 507 of the family's 1533-position model. The record is from RNAcentral.